AUGUUUAAUGACUGCAUUGCUGAUCUUGGCCUUCACGAGAUAGAUAGGAUUGGUGCCAGGUUUAUCUGGACCAAUCGCCAGGCGGCCCCGACCCAGUCUGUUCUAGACCGGGUCCUAGUCUCCGAGGAGUGGGACCUCCGCUGCCCCCUGGCUUCCCUCCGGGCCAUCACCCGGAUUUGCUCCGACCACGUCCCCCUCCUCUUAUCCUCUGCCGACAAGCGCCCUCUGAUUCCCCGUCACUUCUGGUUGGAGACAUUCUGGCUGUCCCAAACCGGCUUCGUGGAGGACGUCAGCGCUUGCUGGGUGGAGGCCCGAGCUCACCCCCACCCACCCCCGUCCUCCCUUGACUCUUGGCAGUUUUCUGCCAAGCGGGGCCGGUAGUUCAUGAAGGGGUGGGGCGCCAACCUAGACCGCGAUCUCCACGAGCAGAAGAAGGCCCUGUUGACCGCCAUCUAGGCCCUUGACCUCCAGGCUGACGCAUUUGGCCUCUCUCCUGAUGAGUGGCUCUCUCGUUACGACGUGGAAGAUCAACUCUCUGUCAUUUACAUCGAUGAGGAGGCAUAUUGGCAUUCUCAUGGCUCCCAGAAAUGGGUCUUGAAGGGCGAUGCGAACACGGCCUACUUCUAGGCCAUUGCUAAUUCUCGUCGGUGCAACACUAUCCCUUUUCUCCGUGAUGGCGCGACGCUCUUGCAGUCUCCUUGCGACAUUCGUGCUCACGUCGACGGGUUCUACAAAAACCUUUUCUCUUCCUCCCCUCGGGGCGGUCUGUCUCUUGCUCCUGACUGCUGGGCCGGCCCCCAGCAGGUAUCCCCUGAGGACAAUGCGGUCAACGGUCCCUUCUCCGAGGGAGAGGUUUUGGCGGCCAUUAGAGGCAUGAACCCUACCUCGGCCCCGGGUCCCGACGGCCUUCCGGUGAAAUUCUUCCAGACAUUCUAGAAUGUGAUCAAACCCGAGAUCAUGGCCAUCUUCGACGAGUUCUAUGUGGGAUCCAUUAACCUUGAUCGCCUCAACUAUGGGAUCAUUUCACUGAUGCCCAAAGUUCAUGGGGCGUCCGGCAUCCACAAGUUCCGUCCGAUAACAGUGAUCAACGUGAUCUUCUGGAUCGGCAAAGGGUUAGCCAAUAGUGUGACCCUGCUUGCGGAUCGCAUUACGCACCCCAACCAGCCGGCCUUCUUUCAAGGGUGCUAUAUCCUGGACGGGGUGCUAGUCCUUCAUGAAGUCCUUCACGAGGUCAUCUCUAAGCACCUCAAGGCAGUCUUCCUAAAGAUCGAUUUCCAUAAGGCCUAA
RNAcentral lists this ribosomal RNA (1287 nucleotides) under Triticum aestivum (bread wheat). Its description in RNAcentral is "partial small subunit ribosomal RNA". The record is from RNAcentral. Lineage: Eukaryota; Viridiplantae; Streptophyta; Magnoliopsida; Poales; Poaceae.